This 253-nucleotide ribosomal RNA is filed under the name uncultured bacterium. Its description in RNAcentral is "partial 16S ribosomal RNA". It matches the Rfam family "Bacterial small subunit ribosomal RNA", at positions 524 to 776 of the family's 1533-position model. The record is from RNAcentral.
GACGUAGGGUGCGAGCGUUGUCCGGAUUUAUUGGGCGUAAAGAGCUCGUAGGCGGCUCGUCGCGUCGGCUGUGAAAACCCGCGGCUUAACUGUGGGCUUGCAGCUGAUACGGGCGGGCUAGAGUUCGGUAGGGGAGACUGGAAUUCCUGGUGUAGCGGUGAAAUGCGCAGAUAUCAGGAGGAACACCGGUGGCGAAGGCGGCAUCCUGGACCGACACUGACGCUGAGGAGCGAAAGCCAGGGGAGCAAACGGG